RNAcentral lists this ribosomal RNA (237 nucleotides) under uncultured bacterium. Its description in RNAcentral is "partial 16S ribosomal RNA". It matches the Rfam family "Bacterial small subunit ribosomal RNA", at positions 118 to 347 of the family's 1533-position model. The record is from RNAcentral.
UGAGGAACAUGACCUUCGGCGGGGGAUAGCCGGCCCAACGGCCGGGUAAUACCGCGUACGACCUUUCGGGGACAUCCCUGGAAGGUGAAAGCAGCAAUGCGCCGAUGGAGUGCCUCGCGGCCUAUCAGCUAGUUGGUGAGGUAACGGCUCACCAAGGCGACGAUGCGUAGCCGACCUGAGAGGGUNAUCGGCCACAUUGGAGCUGAGACACGGUCCAGACUCCGUACGGGGAGCAGG